RNAcentral lists this long non-coding RNA (666 nucleotides) under Manihot esculenta (cassava). Its description in RNAcentral is "long non-coding RNA (MESC_LNC006917)". Lineage: Eukaryota; Viridiplantae; Streptophyta; Magnoliopsida; Malpighiales; Euphorbiaceae. The record is from RNAcentral.
AGCGAACACAACGUUAUUUCAAUAGAAAUAUUAAAAGGACAUAAAGACACCAAAUUCACAAAUUCAAAUUCAACUUCAACGAGAUCCAUAUUUCCACAUCCAAAACCCUCCACGAGCAGGCAUCAAUAAGCAAUCAUGAUUCUAUGAUCGAUUAAAAACAGAUCAAUCCAAAACACAACUCGAAUCCUCAAAAACCCUACAAACUCCACCAACAUCAAAUCAAAUAAAAUCCAAUACAUAUAUCUAUUUAUUAAUCUCUCUACCUGACUAAACUUGAGGGCAUGUUGUUCACCAGUGAGCUGAAGGUUACCAGAAACAAAGACAAGCAUACCACCGGCAGGGCCUGAUGGCUGGCAGUCGACGGUGGUGAUGCUGUGCUGGCACUGCUGGAAAGGAAGGCUAAUGAGCUUGGAGACGAUAUUUUGGGAGCCCUGGAUCUUCUGACCCUCGAAGGUGAGCAUGGAUCCCUCCUGAUAGAGGUUAGCUAAUCCGGCCCGGUUCGCAUCGAAAGUGGUAUAGUAGUGCUCAACAAAUGCCUUAGCCACGGAGUCUGGUUCCAUCUAGAAUUCGGAUUCUGAGAAUUUGAUUUUGCCCUUUUAAUCCCUCGUUUGGCUGCUCUCCCUUGGCUUCGCCGCUUGCAAGUUACGCUACCUUGGCGUAGAGAGA